AAGUCGUAACAAGGUUUCCGUAGGUGAACCUGCGGAAGGAUCAUUAACAUUAUUCUUUUACUUUUUGGGUUGUUGUAAGUGGUGGAGUGUUUUUUUUAAACAUUCUAUCUCUUACAAUUCCCAUUCUAACCCCAAACUAUGUGCACUGUGUUGUGCUUUUCUAACCAAAAGCACUUCUUUUUUUUACUUCUUAAAACCCCUUUUAUUACUACUUCUAGACUGACUUUAAACAACUUGAUUCGUACACUUCAUACUGUACGAUGACCAAUCAUAAUACAACUCUUAGCAACGGAUAUCUAGGCUCUC
RNAcentral lists this unclassified non-coding RNA (306 nucleotides) under fungal sp. RNAcentral describes it as "partial internal transcribed spacer region". The stretch from base 1 to 46 matches the Rfam family "Eukaryotic small subunit ribosomal RNA", at positions 1786 to 1831 of the family's 1831-position model. The record is from RNAcentral. Lineage: Eukaryota; Fungi.